This 492-nucleotide ribosomal RNA is filed under the name uncultured bacterium. RNAcentral describes it as "partial 16S ribosomal RNA". It matches the Rfam family "Bacterial small subunit ribosomal RNA", at positions 29 to 507 of the family's 1533-position model. The record is from RNAcentral.
AGUGAACGCUGGCGGUAGGCCUAACACAUGCAAGUCGAACGGCAGCACAGUAAGAGCUUGCUCUUACGGGUGGCGAGUGGCGGACGGGUGAGGAAUACAUCGGAAUCUACUUUUUCGUGGGGGAUAACGUAGGGAAACUUAAGCUAAUACCGCAUACCACCUACGGGUGAAAGCAGGGGAUCUUCGGACCUUGCGCGAUUGAAUGAGCCGAUGUCGGAUUAGCUAGUUGGCGGGGUAAUGGCCCACCCAGGCGACGAUCCGUAGCUGGUCUGAGAGGAUGAUCAGCCACACUGGAACUGAGACACGGUCCAGACUCCUACGGGAGGCAGCAGUGGGGAAUAUUGGACAAUGGGCGCAAGCCUGAUCCAGCCAUACCGCGUGGGUGAAGAAGGCCUUCGGGUUGUAAAGCCCUUUUUUUGGGAAAGAAAAGCAGCAGGUUAAUACCCCGCUGUUCUGACGGUACCCAAAGAAUAAGCACCGGCUAACUUCGUG